GAAACUUAAAGGAAUUGACGGGGCCCGCACAAGCGGUGGAGCAUGUGGUUUAAUUCGACGCAACGCGAAGAACCUUACCAGGGCUUGACAUCCCCUGACCGCGUAUGAAAGUACGUUUUCACCCUCGGGUGACAGGGAGACAGGUGGUGCAUGGUUGUCGUCAGCUCGUGUCGUGAGAUGUUGGGUUAAGUCCCGCAACGAGCGCAACCCCUACGUUUAGUUGCUAACAGGUGAAGCUGAGCACUCUAGACGAACUGCCGUUGACAAAACGGAGGAAGUGGGGAUGACGUCAAAUCAUCAUGCCCCUUAUGUUCUGGGCUACACACGUGCUACAAUGGCCGGUACAGACGGAGGCGAAGCCGCGAGGCGGAGCAAAACCGAAAAAGCCGGUCUCAGUUCGGAUUGCAGGCUGCAAUUCGCCUGCAUGAAGUCGGAAUCGCUAGUAAUCGCAGGUCAGCAUACUGCGGUGAAUACGUUCCCGGGCCUU
RNAcentral lists this ribosomal RNA (487 nucleotides) under uncultured Pelotomaculum sp. RNAcentral's name for it is "bacterial SSU rRNA". It matches the Rfam family "Bacterial small subunit ribosomal RNA", at positions 896 to 1382 of the family's 1533-position model. Lineage: Bacteria; Bacillati; Bacillota; Clostridia; Eubacteriales; Desulfotomaculaceae. The record is from RNAcentral.